UCUAAAUUUUAGUUCUCAUUUCUAUUUUUCGUUUUGUAAUAUUUGACAGAGACACCAAACAGCCCCUAUGUGUUCUAUGAUUGCAGAUUCUUGAGAAAUUCCCAUUUGCUUCAUUCUGCUUAGAUAAAAUUUUCAGUUGCACGAUGUUAAUUUUUUUUCUUGAUAACCAAACCUAGAAUAUGUCACCCAUUAUUUUUGGGACAUGUUAUCAAUCAGUUCCAUUUAUGGUUAAUCUUGUACUUAUAAUUCAAUUUGUAAAUUCAAAAUUUUGGUGCAGGUGAAUUUGCCCUAUGCUUCUAUUCUUGUGUUUUGCAUUUAAUGUAUUUAUUUAUGCAUUGGUGCAUUCAUUCAUUCAGGGGAGGCUGCCAAGCUAAUGGUGAUCCCCCAAGGCUCCCUGAUUUUAUGUUCUUGGGUUUGUGUUGCAUGUGUUCUUUAUAUAUAUAUAUAUACAUCUAUUGGAUAAAAGCAUGAAUGCUCCAUUUGGUUAUUGGAACUCAGAUGCAUGCAAAGAUACAGAGCAACUAUAUUGGAAAGCACAAAACAGGUUUUGAAGAUGGUGGUCAAGCUGAGCCACACAAUGAGGGAGUUCUUUUAUGUCUUUAUCUCCGGAUAUAAGUUCUUCAUGUGUUGUCUAUUCAGAAUCUGCUUCUCACACGUUCUUGUGUUCAUUUUCUUGGAGAGAAUUUGAUUUGUUGGGGGUCGUUGGAGGAUAUGUUAACCAUCUCACUUUAAAGGUUUUGGGAGUAGAGAUGGUUUGGCUUUGUGGAGGUGCAAAUUUUUUGCUGUCUUGUGGGGUAUUUGGUUGGAGGAGAUGAGGCUCAUAUUUUCAUCAAGAAGAUGUCCUGCUCUAUGAUCUGGGAUAGGAUCCAAUAUAUUGCCGCAUUGUUGGCUUUUGCAGAGAUCUACAGUGUAAUUGGUUGGUUUUAAUUUAUUUUUUUCUUCCUUUUCAUCUUUUUCUCAUGUAAGAAUGAUUUAUUACAUUCUUAUUUUCCUUUUGAAAUUAGAAUAGUCAAUAUAAUUUAAUCAAGUCAAGAAUUUGUCUUUUUGGAACCCAUGUAUUUUAUCAAAUUUGACAGGCCUUAUAGAAUUUUUAUAAAGUUUAAUCAUUUUGUUGUA
This is a long non-coding RNA of Malania oleifera, 1116 nucleotides long. RefSeq lists it as uncharacterized. The record is from RefSeq and is a predicted model, not a curated record. The transcript has 2 exons. Lineage: Eukaryota; Viridiplantae; Streptophyta; Magnoliopsida; Santalales; Ximeniaceae.